GAUGAAGAACGUAGCGAAAUGCGAUAAGUAAUGUGAAUUGCAGAAUUCAGUGAAUCAUCGAAUCUUUGAACGCACAUUGCGCCCGCCAGCAUUCUGGCGGGCAUGCCUGUUCGAGCGUCAUUACAACCCUCAGGCCCCCGGGCCUGGCGUUGGGGAUCGGCGGAGCCCCCCGUGGGCACACGCCGUCCCCCAAAUACAGUGGCGGUCCCGCCGCAGCUUCCAUCGCGUAGUAGCUAACACCUCGCGACUGGAGAGCGGCGCGGCCACGCCGUAAAACACCCAACUCUUCUGAAGUUGACCUCGAAUCAGGUAGGAAUACCCGCUGAACUUAAGCAUAUCAAUAAGCGGAGGA
This 352-nucleotide unclassified non-coding RNA is filed under the name soil metagenome. RNAcentral's name for it is "partial contains 5.8S ribosomal RNA, internal transcribed spacer 2, and large subunit ribosomal RNA". The stretch from base 1 to 120 matches the Rfam family "5.8S ribosomal RNA", at positions 35 to 154 of the family's 154-position model. The record is from RNAcentral.